AACGCGAAGAACCUUACCUGGGCUUGAACUACUCGUGGUAGUUCGCUGGAAACAGUGGACGACCCGCAAGGGAGCGAGCAGAGGUGCUGCAUGGUUGUCGUCAGCUCGUGUCGUGAGAUGUUGGGUUAAGUCCCGCAACGAGCGCAACCCCUAUCCAAUGUUGCUACUCCCGCAAGGGAGGCACUCUUUGGAAACUGCCUUCGAUAAGAAGGAGGAAGGUGGGGACGACGUCAAAUCCUCAUGGCCCUUAUGUCCAGGGCUACACACGUGUUACAAUGGCCGGUACAAUGGGAAGCAAUACCGUAAGGUGGAGCCAAACCCCAAAGCCGGCCCCAGUUCAGAUUGUGGGCUGCAACUCGCCCACAUGAAGGCGGAAUCGCUAGUAAUCGCUGAUCAGCAGGCAGCGGUGAAUACGUUCCCGGGCCUUGUA
This 430-nucleotide ribosomal RNA is filed under the name uncultured delta proteobacterium. Its description in RNAcentral is "bacterial SSU rRNA". It matches the Rfam family "Bacterial small subunit ribosomal RNA", at positions 958 to 1385 of the family's 1533-position model. Lineage: Bacteria; Deltaproteobacteria. The record is from RNAcentral. RNAcentral also lists the same sequence under 1 other name.